GGCUGAUACCGCCCAAGAGUUCACAUCGACGGCGGUGUUUGGCACCUCGAUGUCGGCUCAUCACAUCCUGGGGCUGAAGCCGGUCCCAAGGGUAUGGCUGUUCGCCAUUUAAAGUGGUACGCGAGCUGGGUUUAGAACGUCGUGAGACAGUUCGGUCCCUAUCUGCCGUGGACGUUGGAGAUUUGAGGAAAGCUGCUCCUAGUACGAGAGGACCGGAGUGGACGAACCUCUGGUGUUCGGGUUGUGACGCCAGUCGCAUUGCCCGGUAGCUAUGUUCGGACAGGAUAACCGCUGAAAGCAUCUAAGCGGGAAGCCCCUUCCAAGAUGAGAUCUCCCUGGACCCUCGAGGUCCCUGAAGAGCCGUUCAAGACCAGGACGUUGAUAGGUCGGGUGUGUAAGCGCUGCGAGGCGUUGAGCUAACCGAUACUAAUUGCUCGUGCGGCUUGACUAUAUAACACCCAAG
RNAcentral lists this ribosomal RNA (463 nucleotides) under Marinobacter adhaerens. RNAcentral's name for it is "bacterial LSU rRNA". It matches the Rfam family "Bacterial large subunit ribosomal RNA", at positions 2480 to 2925 of the family's 2925-position model. Lineage: Bacteria; Pseudomonadati; Pseudomonadota; Gammaproteobacteria; Pseudomonadales; Marinobacteraceae. The record is from RNAcentral.